This 495-nucleotide ribosomal RNA is filed under the name Triticum aestivum (bread wheat). Its description in RNAcentral is "partial small subunit ribosomal RNA". The record is from RNAcentral. Lineage: Eukaryota; Viridiplantae; Streptophyta; Magnoliopsida; Poales; Poaceae.
AUGUCGACUAGGUUAUGGACGCUGAUAAUUCAGGCAGCAGCACUGAUAAGUGUGAUUCAGGCAUUGGUCAUGUUCAUGCACCAGAGAGUUGUUCGUCGUGUUGGGAGACCUUUGAUCCGUUAUGGUCCCAUGUUUAUCUGGGAAUAGGAGAGGAUCCAAAAUUGGAACAACAUCUACAACUGCAAAGACGUCGAGGCUCUAUGGAUGCUUCGAAUGAAAAGAGCACCAUUUGCCAGGCUUGUCGAGACCUUCAGGAGCAGGGGGCUGCUACAAGAUAACAUCAACACCAUUGUGGAAGAGCAAGUGGCCAUGUUCCUCCAUGUUGUUGGCCAUAACCAGAGGUUCAGGGUCAUUCACAACACGUUCAGGAGAUCAACGGAGACCAUCUCUAGGUACUUCAAGCAUGUGCUUUUUGUUUUUGGGGAGCUUAGAGGAGAGAUGAUCAGAAAACCAUUUGUCCGGAUUCCACCCAAGAUUCGCGGAAGCCCAAGAUGA